UUAUUUUGAAAUGGAAAGAAUCCUGUUAUUUUGAAAUCUUUCACAAAACAGAAAAAUCUGUCAAAAAAAAGUCAAAAUACAAAGCAAAUAAGGAAAUAUCAUCCGUAAAUCCAGCCAAGAAAUAUGCAUAUAAACCCCCAGCAAGGAAAAUCACGCAUAACCUAAGGAAAAUCACGCAUAAACUAGAAAAAGAAUAUGUGCAUAAACCAACCAAGAAAUCAAGCAUAAAUCUUAUUACAAAUUGUUACAAAUCAAAUCAGAAAAACUCCAAUAAAAAACUCCAGAAGAACUCCAUCACCGUUCUUCUUCAAGUCGUCCCGAUACACAUUUCGAAAUAUAUGACAUAAGAUAAAUUUGUGUUAUUGGAAUUAUGAAUUGCAUCGGUUUUUAUGAAGCUUUUAAUUUGCGUUUUAAGUUCAUAACAAGAUACAAUAACCAAAGAGCUGAGUUAAGGUUUUUAUUUCUGUUCUAAGUUCGAUUUUAAGUUGGUUGUUAAGUUCGUCAAGUCAUACAAUAACCCAUGACAUAAGUUUAAUGGACGCAAUCGAGACAUGGAAACAGUAUUCCCAACGUUCGGAAAUAAGUGCAAAGGAGUGCAUGUGAUUAAGCAAGUACAUUGCGAAAAGAAAAAAAAUGUGAAACACACUAUUUUAUAUGUAGUAUGUUGAAUUACUUUACAUUAGUACUAAUAUUUAGAUUAACCGAUUCAUUAUUUAGAUUGACAUAUUUGUAUGACCUCAUUGUUUUUAAAUAUGAACUAUGUGAAUUAUUUUGAAGCGCUUAAUAUUUGACG
Molecule: long non-coding RNA, 793 nt
Organism: Spinacia oleracea (spinach)
Lineage: Eukaryota; Viridiplantae; Streptophyta; Magnoliopsida; Caryophyllales; Amaranthaceae
Exons: 4
Source: RefSeq, a predicted model, not a curated record